This 460-nucleotide ribosomal RNA is filed under the name uncultured Methylomirabilota bacterium. RNAcentral's name for it is "bacterial SSU rRNA". It matches the Rfam family "Bacterial small subunit ribosomal RNA", at positions 977 to 1434 of the family's 1533-position model. The record is from RNAcentral. Lineage: Bacteria; Methylomirabilota (SeqCode).
GGGCUUGACAUCCCACGAAUCCUGCCGAAAGGCAGGAGUGCCCGCAAGGGAGCGCGGAGACAGGUGGUGCAUGGCUGUCGUCAGCUCGUGUCGUGAGAUGUUGGGUUAAGUCCCGCAACGAGCGCAACCCUCACCCCUUGUUGCCAUCAGGUCAUGCUGGGCACUCUAGGGGAACUGCCCCGGUCAACGGGGAGGAAGGCGGGGAUGACGUCAAGUCAUCAUGCCCCUUACGCCCUGGGCUACACACGUGCUACAAUGGCCGGUACAAAGGGAUGCAACGCCGUGAGGCAGAGCCAAACCCAAAAAGCCGGUCUAAGUUCAGAUUGGAGUCUGCAACUCGACUCCAUGAAGGAGGAAUCGCUAGUAAUCGCGUAUCAGCACGACGCGGUGAAUACGUUCCCGGGCCUUGUACACACCGCCCGUCACACCACGAAAGCCUGUUGUACUCGAAGUCGCUGAG